Homo sapiens (human) is the source of this 1192-nucleotide long non-coding RNA. Ensembl annotates it as long intergenic non-protein coding RNA 595. The record is from Ensembl. NCBI's taxonomy places the organism in Eukaryota, Metazoa, Chordata, Mammalia, Primates, Hominidae.
UUUUUUUUUUUUUUUUUUUUUACAAAAAUGUGGACCUAGGUACAUAAUGUGUGCUAUGCAUAGGAAAAAGCCUGGAGAACUUGCACGAAAUGGUCACACUGUUUUUCAGUGAUGGUAAGAUAAAGGGUAAUUUUAAAAAUUCCUAUUCUUUUCCAGAUUGUUUCUAACACUGCGCAUGCCUUUCGGAGACAAAUUUUAAAAAUAAACAUUAUUUUUAAAAGGAAACAAACAAACAAAACCAAACAGAAGGGAGGCUGGGUUUCUUGGGGAUUUCGGGAGUGCCUGUGUCUCCACGACCUGGGCAGUGCUCUUCUGAGAGGACUGAGGGCUGGGGAGGCAGAGAGAGCAACGACAGGCUACCAGCAUUGAGAAAGAAGGCCUCAAGGCCACAUUGAGAAGGACACUACGCUCUGGAUCACAGGCUGAGCCCUGCAUUCUUGACAUUGGAGCCCUUCGGGAGUGCCAGAACGAGCAGUCCCUCUCCUGGAGGAGCCUGCCUUCCCACCACGGAGGCUAACACCACAACAGCCACAGUGAGCCACCCCUUCUGCCCAUCUUCUUACGUGUCAAGCACUGUGUUCAGUGCCUUCACAGGUAACUUCGAUAAGUCACGAUGGGCAUGCUGCGACUAAGUUGGUACUGAUAUUCUAUUGGUUUUAAAUGGGGAAACUGAGGCUCAGGAAGGUUCAGUAUUUUGCUGGAGGUCACACAGCCAGGCAAGGGCAGAGCCAAGAUUUCAGUUUCAAUCUGUCUGGCUUGGAAGACUUCCUUAUCUUGUGGCAGCAUCUCCAGAGAUCAUGGGUCAGCCUCUUCUUGCCAGAGGCGUGUGUGUGUGCACAGACACAUACACGCUGAGUGACAGAGGGACAAAAACAGUGAGCACCCACCCAGGCACUGUGCUCGAAAUUCUUCCUGCAAACCUGCAAGGUUCCUUGAAUUUCUACGUGAAUUUUAGGAUCAGCUUGUCCAUUUCUGCAAAGAAGCCAGCUGAGCUUUUGAUUGGAAUUGCAUUGAAUCUGUAGAUCAAUUUGGAGAGCAUUUGCAUCUUAACAGUAUUAAGUCUUCUCAUCCAUGAACAUAUUAUAUUUUUCCAUGUAUUUAGAUCUUUAAUUGCCUUCAACAAUGUUUUGUAGUUUUUAGAAUAUAAAUCUUGCACUUCUUUUGUUAAAUGUAUUCCAAAGUAUUUCUUUUG